CGCCCAGUGAGUCUGAGAGGGGGUUUGGGAAGAAUCAGGAGACUCCCAGACAGUGCCAUGUGACAGUGAAGCGUCUGGCCCCAAUCUGCCAGGGUGAAAGCCCCAGGACUGCUGGUGUGAUGUUGGCUACAACAGAAUGGCAGAGAGGAAAGGAAGCUCCGGGAUCUUCCAUUUCAGCCAGCCCAUUUUACUGAGGUGGAGCCUACCCAGCCAAGGAGAAGGCUGCCAGAGGGCCUGGCUCCCUGAUCCUGCUGGUGGCAUUUGCUGAUCAAAAGAACGGACUGUUUCCACCUCCCGGAUGCAAACUCUUUCUUCAGCCAGACAGAGAUCAGACAGCCUCUGGUGUUGAAUCCCUGAUCUGCCACUUCACCAGCUGUGCCAUCUUGGACAAGAUAUGGAGCUCUCUGAACCUAAAUGCUCAGAUGGGGUGAACAUGAGUGGGCUUCCUUCAGGGCUGGGUGAUAGGAUGGCAUGAGACCCGCCUGGUAAAACGCACAGUGAACACUCACUGACUUUCUCCUUUCCCUCUGUCCAGGGAAACCUCUCAUUCCCGGGGGCACGUUCAGUGUUGGUCAGGACCCAGACCUUCUUCCUCAGCCUCCACUUGCCAUCCCCACCCACAUCCUGUCUUACUUCACAGGAGGGCUCAUCCCGUGAGCCCCAUGUGUACUGGGUUCCGUCCAGGAUGUGGUCCAGCAAAUCCACCACACGCAGGUGGGGGCCGUGUCCUGGCCCCCAGGUUGAGUCUAAGUAAGGCUGUCCACGCUCAGUAUUUGAGGCCAGAUAAUUCUCAGUGGGGUGAAGUGGAGGGGUGACCUGUGCACUGGAGGAUACUGAACGGUGUUCCUGGCCUCCACCCACCAGGUGAGAGCAGCAGCCCCAGCCCCAGGCUUGGAAAAGGUUUCCAGAGAUUGCCAACUGUCCCCUGGAGGUGAAAUUGCUGCUGCACAGGAACCAUGAAGAACUAAGACACGGAGAACCUCCUGGAGCUAAUGGUCCACAGGGGCCCCUCCUGUGUGGACACAGACACCUCGGUACACAAACCUGGAGGACCCAGGAGGACCAAGCUGAAGGAGGGCAUCACCUUCCAUCUGGGGGUCUUAUCCCCCUCCCCCGACACUUAAACUUGAAGGUGGA
Molecule: long non-coding RNA, 1137 nt
Organism: Rhinopithecus roxellana (golden snub-nosed monkey)
Lineage: Eukaryota; Metazoa; Chordata; Mammalia; Primates; Cercopithecidae
Exons: 3
Source: RefSeq, a predicted model, not a curated record